This is a long non-coding RNA of Passer domesticus (house sparrow), 2039 nucleotides long. RefSeq lists it as uncharacterized. NCBI's taxonomy places the organism in Eukaryota, Metazoa, Chordata, Aves, Passeriformes, Passeridae. The transcript is spliced from 10 exons. The record is from RefSeq and is a predicted model, not a curated record.
GCGGAGAGGCGGGAAAGUGGAGAGGUGAGAAAAUACUUCCCUCACACACAAUCUUCAUCUGCCAUCAGUCUGUUGUGAGCAAUCCUGUGUGAGAACAUGACCCCCACACAGUCUCGCUGUCCUGAGGGGAGGAGAAAGGCUGAGAGAAGCUGAGGAGAGGCAGGCGCCAUGUUGGGCGCCUGAGGGUGCGUGAGGAGACAGCCGGCCAUGGCUGCUCCAGGUUGUGCACAACCUCAGAACUGUACUGCUGUUUUUUGCUUCAGAGGUCACCUCAAUGUCUUCCUCUCUUAAUGGCAGCCCAAGGAAAGCUGACACAGCUUCCAGCAUCCCAGGAGGAACUCAGAGCCCACUAAAAGUGCAAAAAGGCAGGAAUGGAUUUCCAGUGGGAAUGUGGGCUGAGGGGGCUGGAGAAAAUCUCCUUCCAUAUCCCACCAGAAAUGCCUUGGUCACAUCACUCAGCCCUGCUGGGAGCUCCGGGAGGUGAGAAAUGUCACUGAUGCAGGAAGGGAAAGGGCCAGUGCAUUUCAUGCUGCUGGCCCCCAGAUUUUUUCCAUCCAAUCUGGACACUCCAGGGAGAAUUUGCUGCAUCACAAGCUGGAAGCACUGAGAAGUCCUGACUGCUUUCCUGAAAAACAAUAAUUUUUGUUGCCUUCAGCCCAAUUAAUCCAGUAAUCAAUCCAGGAGCCUUUAUUUCCCCAUUUGACAUCUUACACUGGCAAGAAAAGCCGAAAUCCCUUGAAAUUCAGAAUGCUGAGAAGUGAAUGUGAGACGGACUACUCUGUUUUCAUUUCCCAAGCAUUGGCAUGCACUCUUCCUGGACUGGAUCAGCAUGAGUUCAUCAGAACAUGCCCAGGAUUCCUGUUCCUGAUGGCUCCACGAUGCAGGAUCUUGCUGAGAAGGAGCCCUCCUGGAGAAGGCUUCACAUCCAGGCUGUCACUGCAGCUCCUGGCAGUGCCAGCACCCCAGCUGCACAGAACUGCUGCAGGCACCAGCCAGGCACAGCAAUGGGAAGAGUUUGGAGAAGGGUUUGGAUCAGCCCCCUGCUCUCAGGGAGCAAGGAAUAGAAGGAAUUACCUGAAUUUUCAAGUCCAACUCGCAGGAAGUGUGGACAGCACAGAAUCCCAAGUGAUCCUGAUAAGAGGAGGGAUAUGUACAGAUAAAUCCUGGAAAGAGGUGAACAAAGAAUUCUAGAAGAGCAGGAUUUGCUUGGAUUUGCUUGGAUUUGCUGGUGACCAUCCCAGCCAGCUGAAUAAACAAGAUACACCUGAUUACAGGACAUGGCUCAGCCUGGAAGAAGGAGGAGGACAUGGACACUCAGCCCAUGACAGCAGGAAGUGUCCCACAGCUCCUAAAGCUUCAGCUGGCUGUGACUGAGGGAGGACUUUGGGACAGACAGUGGUAAGGAAAAAAGGGAAGUUCCUCUCUAAGUACACGGGGGGAAGGGAAGGAAUGACACAGUGAACAUUUCCACACAGAGAAUGAUGUAUUAAAGUUAGAUUAGAAUCCUUCUAGGAACUCAAUAUAUUAACAGCAGAAGAAAUUCAAUAAUGGACAACUUUAGAACUGAUAAAAGAACAUCACUUCUGCCAUAGCCCACAGCUAUGGGCUGGGGAACUCACUCCUACAUCUGGAGUUCAAGAAACAAUCAAAUUUCCAGAGAACUGGGCAUGUGCAUGGGUAAGAACACCCAGAUAGGAGGAUCACACUUUUGUGAUGUGUUAACUCCCACUUGGAUAUUGGGAACUCCACAGAAGUUUGCUUUGGCACACUGUGGUUCUCAGAAAUGGAAGAACAGGACAGCCCAGUCUCUGUGCAAUGGGACAAUUCCAACAGGAGUGAGGAGCCCACAACCAAAACCAGCUGGCCCUUCAGAUUUGGGAUAAAAAAAGGCCAUUUUGGUCUCUACAGAAUGCCUGUGCUUAUGCAAACACAGAUCUCUGCUGACUCACCCCUCCCAAGGAAAUGAAGCAUCAGCCCCUGAGCCAGCAGCAUCUGCCCCGUUCUGAGCGUGCAGCCCCAGCCACAGUCUGUGGUUAAAG